AUCAAGUGACAUCGUAUUAUCUGGCCUCCUAUCCUAUACCAGUGUUAUACACCAGCAUACUUACACAGUAUAAUUGUCAGAGAUACGGAGAGGUCCCUCAUGCCAACGAUUGUCUCCUCCUAAUGGAACCGGUACUGUAAGAUGUCUGCCAGACCCCUCGAACAAAGUAUUCAAGUAUGUCGAGAACUUAGAAGACCAGCUCCAAGAUCGACAGUGGCAAAUUUGAGCAAAACCCACGGGAUUCUGGUUAACAAUAUAGGUCCCCAGCCAGUCUGUCUACAGGCCCUGAACCACAUUAUUGUCCCAUCUGUCUAGCCCUAUAUAUUUGUAAUGCAUAAGCCCUCAGUGAAACAAGUCUAGAUUUCCUCAGGUUCAGGUUCUGAAUCUCCCGUUUCACUGGAGUUCUUUUUCAAUUUAAAAGGAAUUGUUUGUUUCCAUCAAAAUUAUAUAUAAACGCAUGGCCAAAGAAAGUAUAGGACUGGAAAAAUUAUUUGUCACUGUCAUUGACAUGGUUAGGAGAAUUAGACAUGCUGGCAAUGUUGGCCCCACUACUGGGAAGGGAAAUACACCGCCAAAACGCAACACGUUCGAACGGUGAGAGUGAUGACGUCACAAAUGUUGAAAGCAUGUUCCAUGCCCCUAGCACAUAAUGCACGUGCAAAGUUUCGGUAUAAAUGCGAUGCAUCGGUCCCGUCAUAUCACAGCUGCUGAAAACACAUGAAAAGUAUGCCACGACUGACGCCAGAACAGAGAGAGAGAUUGCCAUAGGGAUGUCCGAUAUGGGAGCGACGAACGUCAGAAUUGCAAGAAGAUUUGGUUGUACGCCACUGACGAUAGCAAGACUCCUCCAACGAUUCAGACAGACAGGUCGAACACAGGACAGGCCGAGGAGUGGGCGUCCACGUGUAACUAGCGCACGUGAAGGUCAUCAUAUACGCCUGAUACACCUCCGAAAUCGAUUUGUUACGGCAACGUCAACGGCCGAAACAGCGUUGGGACGUCGCAUCAGUCGAAGGACUGUCCUCAGACGUUUGACAGCAGGUGGAAUAUGUUGCUAUCCGACCAUUCCGUGGAAUGAGACUAACACAACAACAUCGACUUGAAAGACUGCAAUGGGCAAGACGAGUAUACCGCUGGCAAGUGCGUGACUGGCGUAGGGUCCUCUUCACCGAUGGAAGUCGGUUUUGUCUGCACAAAAAUGACGGCCGACAGAGAGUUUACAGGCGAUGGCGUGAACGUUUUGCAGCAGCAUGCAUUCAAUGCCUAUGGUGGAGUUGGUGUGAUGGUAUGGGGUGGCAUUAUUUGCGACCAAACGACACCCUUGGUCGUUAUUCAGGGGAAUCUCAAUGCUAACGAGUACCGAAAUCAAGUCUUGCAGCCUGUUGUCUUACCUUUCUUGAACAAUCAACCAGCAACUCCCUAUACAGCAAUAGCGACGAGAAACUUUCUUAAUCAAAAUAACGUUAAUGUUCUCCCCUGGCCUUCUCGAUCACCAGAUAUGAAUCCGAUCGAGCAUUUGUGGGAUCAUUUGGGAAGACAAAUUUGUGGUCGUCAUCACCCUCCACAGACAAGACAAGAGUUGGAAGUGGCACUGAGGGACGAAUGGCAGCGACUGCCAAAUGACGUCAUCCGACGCUUGACGUCAUCGAUGCGACGACGUGCACGAGCGUGCAUCGAGGCUGCUGGCGGACACGCACGCUUCUGACGUUGUGAUCGUUCUGGAACAAACUUUUGUCUUUUGUGUGCGCAAUUCGUCAAAGGAAUAUCAUUGUAACUUUGGUAUUUACCCCCUGACUGUUUGAAUGUCAAUGUCACCGUUCAGUUCUUUCAACCAGGUGAUGAUUUGUACACACAGCAAAGUGCAAAUGAAUUUGCUACAAAUUACAUCUAUUACAUAAUCCAAA
Molecule: long non-coding RNA, 1904 nt
Filed under: Haliotis rubra (blacklip abalone)
Lineage: Eukaryota; Metazoa; Mollusca; Gastropoda; Lepetellida; Haliotidae
Description: uncharacterized LOC124283721
Source: RNAcentral